This 21-nucleotide non-coding RNA is filed under the name Caenorhabditis elegans. Lineage: Eukaryota; Metazoa; Nematoda; Chromadorea; Rhabditida; Rhabditidae. The record is from RNAcentral.
UAUGUAUGUGAUUCUAGGUGG